UACGUAGGUGGCAAGCGUUGUCCGGAUUUACUGGGCGUAAAGAGCGCGCAGGCGGUCGAUCAAGUCGCGUGUGAAAGCCCCCGGCUCAACUGGGGAGGGUCACGCGAUACUGAUCGACUCGAAGGCAGGAGAGGGUAGUGGAAUUCCCGGUGUAGUGGUGAAAUGCGUAGAUAUCGGGAGAAACACCAGUGGCGAAGGCGACUACCUGGCCUGUUCUUGACGCUGAGGCGCGAAAGCUAGGGGAGCAAACGGG
Molecule: ribosomal RNA, 253 nt
Filed under: uncultured bacterium
Lineage: Bacteria
Description: partial 16S ribosomal RNA
Rfam family: Bacterial small subunit ribosomal RNA
Source: RNAcentral